GUAGGGAAUAUUGCGCAAUGGGGGAAACCCUGACGCAGCGACGCCGCGUGAGUGAUGAAGGCCUUCGGGUCGUAAAGCUCUGUUGCAGGGGAAUAAAAAAAUGAAGGUACCCUGUGAGGAAGGAUCGGCUAACUUCGUGCCAGCAGCCGCGGUAAGACGAGGGAUCCUAGCGUUUCUCGGAAUCAUUGGGCGUAAAGAGGGCGUAGGUGGCUUGGUAAGUCAGGUGUGAAAGCCCAGGGCUCAAUCCUGGAAGUGCAUUUGAUACUGCUGAGCUUGAGUGUCGGAGAGGUUACCGGAAUACCUGGUGUAGUGGUGAAAUACGUAGAUAUCAGGUGGAACACCGGAGGCGAAGGCGGGUAACUGGACGAACACUGACACUGAGGCCCGAAAGCGUGGGGAUCAAACAGGAUUAGAUACCCUAGUAGUCC
This 428-nucleotide ribosomal RNA is filed under the name uncultured bacterium. RNAcentral's name for it is "bacterial SSU rRNA". It matches the Rfam family "Bacterial small subunit ribosomal RNA", at positions 354 to 796 of the family's 1533-position model. The record is from RNAcentral.